GCAACAACAAUGGCCAUCAAGCAUUUUGUUCGCACCUCUGUGAUCAGAAGCAGCAGUGUUGGAAGCACAGAUCCUCAGAAUUUGGAGAACACGGUUCUUGCUUUCCAUCCUGACUCUCACAGGCUGUGUGCAAACUGCUCCGGAACAUGUGUGUGCUCAGCUCCCUCCCAUGGGGCUGGAGGAUGAGGGAUGGGUAGCUGCUGCUGUGCUAAGAGCUUAAGUUGGUCAUAAUUAACUGCGCUUUGCCACCCAAGCCUUCCCUGAAAGUUGCAAGCUUUCAAUAGACUCCAGAGUUCUAAAAUAGUGACAUUAGACAGAUUCUGCCAGUGCAAUCGCUGUCUAGGAGAGGAGACAGAUUCCUAGUGUUUCCUGUUUUGCCAGCUUCCCGGAAUCUUCUUCACAUAGCAUCCGUUUUGAAGAUACUAUUUACUUCUCAAUUUGGGGCUAUUCAUUGAGUAGACUGUCAACAGGUUAUUGGCUGUUUGAAGAUCCUCAUUUGUCUGCUAACUAUACCUCUAUUUUUUUUUCUACAUUCACCUGGAAGACAUGUCUUCUUCAAGAGCACCUUGACUCUGUCCAGAAGGAGUUCAUAAUUUUCAACAGAGAAAAAGUAAAAAGGGACUUUAACAAAAGACAACCAAAUCUAGCCUUGGAACAAACCAAAGACCC
This 669-nucleotide small RNA is filed under the name Pongo abelii (Sumatran orangutan). RNAcentral's name for it is "retained intron". Lineage: Eukaryota; Metazoa; Chordata; Mammalia; Primates; Hominidae. The record is from RNAcentral.